Magallana angulata is the source of this 3185-nucleotide long non-coding RNA. RefSeq lists it as uncharacterized. Lineage: Eukaryota; Metazoa; Mollusca; Bivalvia; Ostreida; Ostreidae. The transcript has 3 exons. The record is from RefSeq and is a predicted model, not a curated record.
GAAAGAGAGAAAGGAGAAAAAAUAUAUACCUCUGAAAGGUAAAUUCCAUUGCAAUGUAUCUUAAAACAUACAUGUAUUGAAAUAUAACAAGUAGUACAUCAGAGGAGAAGUAAUUUAUCAAUCAGAACAGCUGACUGUAUCUAUGAUCCUUGGAUUACAAAGCCUUUUAAAUAAACACCAACUAUCAGUUUACCAUAUAUGUAUCUGAUAAUACACACCAAUGGCCUUUAGUGAUGUCAUAAUGCAUUAAAUUUUCUUAUGUUCACCAUAGUUUUAAAAUACGUACAGUCUUGAAUCAUCUGAUUGGUCUGAAUUGCAUGGUAAUACACAGUCUUCAGUACAUGAAAAAGUUAGGAAUCUUUAUUUUUUAACUUUAUGGGAACAUAUAUGUAGGACUCCAAAGAGCGAUGGGACUCUAAAACUGAUGGUCAUGCUAAAGUCCAAUGGUUCGCAUGCAGUUGCCAAAGUCUGAUGGUGUGACACGCCAAAGUCCAAAGGUUUUAAUUAGACUCACAACACUGACAAGAGCACAAUUAGUGUUUCCUUAAUGCGUAUUUUCUUAUUUGUCUGUAUGUGUCACUAUUAACUACAUUCAAACUGAAUGAGUGUAAAGAGGACGCCUUCUGCUUAUGCAUUAUUAUUUCAAUCAAAAAGCCUCUACCCUAAGUUCUCUACAUGUAUCUUGGAUGUGAUCGUCAGUGACUAUUUUAAAGCACAUUUUAAAAGUGCAACAGGUACUUGGACCAAUAUGUACAUUUUUGUUUAUGCUGUCCACUGUCACAAUUAUGAUGAAUGUUCGGCCUUUACCGGUACCUGUAAUUUGCACCUCGCUUCAGCAGACAAAAACUGCUUGGACUAGGGCCAUUAUUCUCCUUUUUUUCCUCCCUUUGUCAAAAACAUAUCCACCAAAUGUCUGAAGAGCCUGCCUCUUCUAUCUUGUUGAUUUUGUAAUUACUACUACCACCUUAUCUAUGACGUAGUCAUGACAUGACGUCACAAAUGUUGUUAUUCUGUCAUUGGACUUUGGCGUUCGCAUUGACAAUUGGACUUUGGAGUCUUACAUAUACGAUGAGUGUCUACCUUUUUUUCGACUUUAUGGGUACAUAAUACAGGGGUAGGUACAUGAUCAAAUAUAUCAUAAAGCCCUUCCAACUUUAUGGUAGAUUUGAUGCGACUGCCCAUGUCUAUUCAAGCACUGACUGCUUAUUUUUGGAUAUCAUUGGUCCUAAAACACACCAGGCUGUGCUGUUAAACAAAUUGAUCACUGCACAUUAGUGCAGUAUGAUAAUAUUUCUGCACAGCCUGGUCUAUUUUAGGACCAAUGAUAUUCUAAUAUUUAUAUUAUUUUCAUUGUUUAUUUUGAAUAAAUUAUUUGUCCCAUUAUUGACACUGGGGUCAAAGUUUCAAAAAAUUUGAGUGUAAACUGAAUUGGAAUAUUUGUAGAGUAAUAUCAUAUAUUGUAGCAAUGCUAAAAAGAUUUUUCUCUGUGUAGGUGGGUUUUUUUUAUCCACUCUAGGGCCCUACUGAUGUUUUGGCAGUCAUAGUUACAGCAAAAUUGAAUCAACAAUACAUCUGGAUACCUGUAUAGCAAUAUAUCACAAAUUGUAGUUCUUAAGAUGACUUUAAAAAGAUUUUCUCUACAUAUUUCAAUAAUAAACUUUUUUAACCCUUCCUGGGUCCCCAUAUUGAUUCUGGGGUCAUGAUCUGAACAAUUUAGAAUCUACAAUAUAUCAGGAUGCUUGCACAGUAAUAUCACAAUUUGGAGCAUAACUGGUAGUUUUCACCUCCAGUUCAGGUGAUCUAGCUAACAAAGUAAAUGACACUUAAUAAAUAAAUAACUAGCUUGAUUCCACAAUAUUCUUAACUUUUCAGAAAUCAUAUAUUCCACUUUUUUAGCACAUUAGCGUUCCCCCAAGGAUUUACAUCCUCGGCAAAAACAGACUUAAUGAGAGUUUACUUUUUUACUGAAACUCAAAACUGAAGCAUCCACGAAAAUACAUACCCACGAAUAAACAAAAAACCUACAAUCCAAAAAAAUUGGCCCCCACAAAUUUAAAUAAUUCAACAGUAAUUACUAGAUCCUUUUAUAAAAGUUUCACACAAUGCAUGCCUUUCGUUGAAAUAUUUUUGACACCUAACCUCAAUCCUAUAUCAGACCUUUAUCCGAUACAGGGAUAUAUUUAUAAUGACAUGACUAACUUUGAAAAUAAUGUACACUAUCAUGGCUUUAAAUUAAUUUCAGAAUUAAAUUACGCCCUUAUGAUCUACUGAAGAAUAAUUUUAAAAUUGUUUUCUGUUUAUUCCUACGAUGAACUUCAAAUCUCUAAAACUGCCCAUAUCUGACUCUGGAGGUCAUGAAUUUGAAUAACUGAAAUCUGUCACAGGAGAAUUGGUUCUUUAAAAGAUUUUAAAACACACUGCCUUAUUUCUAUUCUUUCUUAAUAAUCUCCUAUUGGAAAAAGUUAUGACCCUACAUUUGAUCAAACUUAAAAGCCCUUGUUGUGUAAACCAUGGUAAAAUUGACUCAGUGGCUCUAGUGAAGUUGAAAGUGUAAAACGUUUACAGAUAGAUGGACAGGCACUGGAUAAAAAAUGAUCAGAAAAGCUUACUUGUCUAAUGAGCUUUCAGGUCAGGUUCACCACAAUGCAGACUUACAAUGAACCCACCUCAGACAGAUCUAUCAAAAACCAUUUGAGUUAUGCUCAAAAAAUACCAACAAUACCAAGAUCAUAAAUUGUGUCUGGCUUCCAGUGGUGAAUCCAUGCCGAGACUAAUUGCAAUCGCCAUCAUAGAUUUAAUGAAAUCUGUGUGGGUUUCUGUUACUUAUGUAACGCACUGUCUGCUACAUUUUUUAAUCCAGCCAAUGACGCCAUUAGACUGUACAACACCUGCUGGGUUCUUGUUCUGUUCUUACUGGCAGAAGCAAAAAUAGAUUGACAAUACAGAAGGAGGUUCUUUAUGAUAAACAGUUUUGCAACUAUUUGUUACAUUCAGUUUUUCAAAAUAAUGUUUUAAAUAUAAGUCAACAUCUACAUGCAACUUGUCUUUGUUGGGGUUUUUUUCAGCAAUUUUUUCUUUUUUCUUUCUCCUCCAGACAACUCAGAAAGUAUAUAGAUAUAAAAUUUCUUUGUACUAGCAAGAUUACAACUUUUGUUCGUUUGCUGUGGUGCAGUUCAGUCCAGACA